RNAcentral lists this unclassified non-coding RNA (253 nucleotides) under Hevea brasiliensis (rubber tree). Lineage: Eukaryota; Viridiplantae; Streptophyta; Magnoliopsida; Malpighiales; Euphorbiaceae. The record is from RNAcentral.
AGCAUAAACUUGAAGAACGAGUAGGCAGACAGACAGACAGAGACCUUCCGCUCUCAAAAGGCCAAAUCAAAUCAAAUCGCUCUCCACUCCACAGCAAAUAAAAUAACCUAAUUUCCUCUUCUUCCCAAUACACAACAUUAUAACUGAAAAAACAAGAAUUGGGAAAUUUUGAAUUCUGAAUUCACCCCAUAUGUAAUGCAUCAGAAGAAAUCAGAAGUCCAAAUCGGAAAAGAAAGCACCGGCGUCUCUUCCG